AGAGUUUGAUCCUGGCUCAGAUUGAACGCUGGCGGCAUGCUUUACACAUGCAAGUCGAACGGCAGCACGAGUGCUUGCACUUGGUGGCGAGUGGCGAACGGGUGAGUAAUGCAUCGGAACGUGUCUUAAAGUGGGGGAUAACGCAUCGAAAGAUGUGCUAAUACCGCAUAUACUCUGAGGAGGAAAGUAGGGGAUCGAAAGACCUUAUGCUUUGAGAGCGGCCGAUGUCUGAUUAGCUAGUUGGUAAGGUAAAGGCUUACCAAGGCGACGAUCAGUAGUUGGUCUGAGAGGACGACCAGCCACACUGGGACUGAGACACGGCCCAGACUCCUACGGGAGGCAGCAGUGGGGAAUUUUGGACAAUGGGCGAAAGCCUGAUCCAGCAAUGCCGCGUGAGUGAAGAAGGCCUUCGGGUUGUAAAGCUCUUUCAGUCGAGAAGAAAAAAUUAUGAUUAAUAAUUAUAAUUGAUGACGGUAUCGACAGAAGAAGCACCGGCUAACUACGUGCCAGCAGCCGCGGUAAUACGUAGGGCGCGAGCGUUAAUCGGAAUUACUGGGCGUAAAGGGUGCGCAGGCAGUUUUGUAAGUCAGAUGUGAAAUCCCCGGGC
This 607-nucleotide ribosomal RNA is filed under the name uncultured bacterium. Its description in RNAcentral is "bacterial SSU rRNA". It matches the Rfam family "Bacterial small subunit ribosomal RNA", at positions 8 to 608 of the family's 1533-position model. The record is from RNAcentral.